UACAGAGGGUGCAAGCGUUAAUCGGAAUGACUGGGCGUAAAGGGCGUGUAGGUGGUUGUAUAAGUUGGUUGUGAAAUCCCUGGGCUUAACCUAGGAAUGGCAACUGGGACUGUAGAGCUAGAGUACGGUAGAGGGUAGUGGAAUUUCCGGUGUAGCGGUGAAAUGCGUAGAGAUCGGAAGGAACACCAGUGGCGAAGGCGGCUACCUGGACUGAUACUGACACUGAGGCGCGAGAGCGUGGGGAGCAAACAGG
Molecule: ribosomal RNA, 253 nt
Filed under: uncultured bacterium
Lineage: Bacteria
Description: partial 16S ribosomal RNA
Rfam family: Bacterial small subunit ribosomal RNA
Source: RNAcentral